Aethina tumida (small hive beetle) is the source of this 559-nucleotide long non-coding RNA. RefSeq lists it as uncharacterized. NCBI's taxonomy places the organism in Eukaryota, Metazoa, Arthropoda, Insecta, Coleoptera, Nitidulidae. The transcript is spliced from 2 exons. The record is from RefSeq and is a predicted model, not a curated record.
ACAACCGUUACUAGGAUAAUAUGUAUUUUUUACAAUAACUAUUGCUUGUGGUUUGUAGUCAGUUGUUGUCAAAUAGUGACAUGAAAAAUUACGGGUACAUAAUUAAGAAUAUAAACGAUUAGUAGUCAAUUUUGAGCAUCAUCAUGAAGAUUAUAGAUAAUGGAGAAAAGAAAGAGAACUGCUACGGUUUAGGAUCAGACAAGCUUUUGUUGCAGCACAAACCGGAAGCCAAAGAUAUUCUUCAGGAUGCGGAUCAAUGCGUUGGUGAUUGCUGCAAAAAUUCUAUCAUCCUUCAGAAACUUUAACGUUCAAUUCUAAUCAUGUCGCCUUUCAUAUCUCUGUUUAUAUCACUACUUCAGAAUUUAUCAUACUAUUAGUGAAAUGAUCUUUUAAUCAAUUAUUUAGGAUUUUAUCAUUUGAAAAAUUAUUUGCGAAUUGAGAAAUUUUAGUUAAAUCUUGCGGAUUAAUCUAUUAAACUAGGAGUGCUGUAAUAAUGUUCAUAAAAAUUGAUCUUCAAAAAUAUGUCAUUUGAAUCAAUAUACAUUUCAUCAUCCAUAAA